Molecule: transfer RNA, 72 nt
Filed under: Candidatus Acidifodinimicrobium mancum
Lineage: Archaea; Nanobdellati; Candidatus Parvarchaeota; Candidatus Acidifodinimicrobiaceae
Also listed under: 1 other name
Description: tRNA-Asn
Rfam family: tRNA
About the family: Transfer RNA (tRNA) molecules are approximately 80 nucleotides in length.
Source: RNAcentral
GCCCGAGUAGCUCAACGGCAGAGCAAUUGGCUGUUAACCAAUGUGUUGCAGGUUCGAAUCCUGUCUCGGGCG